This 20-nucleotide small nuclear RNA is filed under the name Arabidopsis thaliana (thale cress). Its description in RNAcentral is "snRNA_17898". Lineage: Eukaryota; Viridiplantae; Streptophyta; Magnoliopsida; Brassicales; Brassicaceae. The record is from RNAcentral.
CCUCCCGCUCUUGACGGUGG